This is a long non-coding RNA of Bos grunniens (domestic yak), 2496 nucleotides long. Lineage: Eukaryota; Metazoa; Chordata; Mammalia; Artiodactyla; Bovidae. The record is from Ensembl.
AUGUGUGUGUGUGUGGAGGGGGGGCGGGGUGGGUUCUGCUGGAGAAGGAAAUGGCAACCCGCUUCAGUAUUCUUGCCUGGGAAAUCCCAUGGACAGAGGAGCCUGGCGGGCUACAGUCCCUGGGCUCCCAAAGAGUUGGACACGACUGAGCGACUAAACAAUAACAACAACAACAGCAACGGGAAUUUGAACAAACUCCACCGCCCUGAAUGUCCGGUGCUGCGCGAAAGAUGCUCUUCCGCUGGGGGGCCACCAAAGCGGAACAGCGCAGACGGUGCCUGCCGCCUCCCCUGGCGCUGGGCGUCGGGGUCAAGUCACCUCCCGGAGCCCCGCGCGGGGCACGGUGGGGACUCGGGGCCCAGCCAUCCCCAGCAGCAGCGCCCCGAGUCCCCGCCCGCCUGCCGGCUCCUCACCUAUCAGAUUUCCUGUGCGCACCGCGCGCCGCUCCUCCCACCUCCUAAAGGCCAGCGCAGGGGACCGCCGCGCUCCGUCAGGACCCAGCUACUCAAGGGACGGCGCAAUGCGGCUCUGAGCUCGGGCAUCGGUACGGCCCCGCGCAGGGAGUGCGGGGCGCGCGGGCUUCCCAAGGCAGAGAAUCAUCACUUUCUGGCAAAUAAACCAAGCCCAAGACCUAAUUGUGCUGAAUGUCAUAUGACCUAAUUGUGCUGAAUGUCAUAUGCUGACAGCUCUUGGAAUCCACCCUUUGGCUUAGCUUUCAAACAAGAGGUUCAUCUUACCCAGGAAAAGGGUGAGUUAUUUGCUUUCUUAAUGUUAUAAUGCUGACAUGGAUGAUCCUGGAUUUGUGGAGAAUAAAAGAGAUAGGUGAGCAAAAGAACAUGCGUGCAUGUAAAGUCGCUUUAGUCGUGUCUGACUCUGUGGGACCAUAUGGAUUUUAGCCUGCCAGACUUCUCUGUCCAUUGGAUUCUCCAGGCAAGAAUACUGGAAUGGGUUGCCAUGCCCUCUUCCAGGGGAUCUUCCCCACCCAGGGAUUGAACCUAUGCCUCUUACAUCUCCUGCAUUGGCAGGUGAGUUCUUUAUCACUAGUGCUACCUGGGAAGUCCAGUGAAAGAAUAGGAGAUUUAAAAAGUAACCUAAAAAGAAAAGAAAAGAAAAGAAAAAAAAAAAAGCCACUGCUUUGCACAGAUGGAAUUCCAAGGUAGUAGUACACAUUGAAGACUGGUCUUGCUUCUUUCUGGGAGUGAUGAAAUGGUGCUUAAAUCAGUCAAAGAAGAAUGCCAGGGGUCUGUACAUUUGGGUCUAGGACAUAUGCUUUCCAGCCUUGCAGGUUCUCUAGCUAGAUGCCAUUAUGGAGUCAGAGAAGGGCAGAACUGGAAGGACAGACCUAGUGAGCUGUGUGGUUCCAUGUCCUUCUAGAUCAGGGAUCUGAGACUCCCGCCAUGAAGGAGCCAGGACCACUGCCUGGUUCCUGUGGUCCCAAUCUUCCACCAGGGAGUGAGAGACGGUGGCACUCAUCUCUGCCUCCCUGUGGAAUCUCAUCACUCCACUUGUGUCUGCAACAAGACUCCAGAGUUUCUAAAACUUGAGCUAUGAAGCAUGGGUCUCGUCUCAUCCCCCAUCUCAGCCACCCAGGGCAAAGCUAUACUCCUGCUUUUUGAGGUCUAACCAUUUGAUUGUUUUCCUUUCAGAUGGCUUACAUGAAGAUGAGAUGGGUAUAUAUUUCCCUGAUGGUCCUGGGAGUCUUUUGUCUGUAUUAUAACCUGGAGGAUCUGAAUCCUUUUAAAGGAGAACCAGUGAUUUUCAAGAAUGAACUUGGGGACUUCCUUCAGCUCCCAGAUAUAGAUUGUGGGCAGGAUCCCCCCUUUCUUAUACUGCUGGUAGCUUCAUCUCAUGAGCAGUGGUUUGUCCGCUUGGUCAUCCGGAGCACAUGGGGAAAAGAAAAGAUCAUAAAGGAAAGCGGAUAAAACAUUCUUUCUCCUGGGAACUUCUCCCAGUAAACACAUCUCAAGAAAAGAAAAGAAAAGAAAAGAAAAAAAAAGCCACUGCUUUGCACAGAUGGAAUUCCAAGGUAGUAGUACACAUUGAAGACUGGUCUUGCUUCUUUCUGGGAGUGAUGAAAUGGUGCUUAAAUCAGUCAAAGAAGAAUGCCAGGGGUCUGUACAUUUGGGUCUAGGACAUAUGCUUUCCAGCCUUGCAGGUUCUCUAGCUAGAUGCCAUUAUGGAGUCAGAGAAGGGCAGAACUGGAAGGACAGACCUAGUGAGCUGUGUGGUUCCAUGUCCUUCUAGAUCAGGGAUCUGAGACUCCCGCCAUGAAGGAGCCAGGACCACUGCCUGGUUCCUGUGGUCCCAAUCUUCCACCAGGGAGUGAGAGACGGUGGCACUCAUCUCUGCCUCCCUGUGGAAUCUCAUCACUCCACUUGUGUCUGCAACAAGACUCCAGAGUUUCUAAAACUUGAGCUAUGAAGCAUGGGUCUCGUCUCAUCCCCCAUCUCAGCCACCCAGGGCAAAGCUAUACUCCUGCUUUUUGAGGUCUAACCA